Molecule: ribosomal RNA, 253 nt
Filed under: uncultured bacterium
Lineage: Bacteria
Description: partial 16S ribosomal RNA
Rfam family: Bacterial small subunit ribosomal RNA
Source: RNAcentral
UACGUAGGGGGCAAGCGUUGUCCGGAUUUAUUGGGCGUAAAGAGCGUGUAGGCGGUUUGGUAGGUCCGCUGUGAAAACUCGAGGCUCAACCUCGAGACGCCGGUGGAAACCAUCAGGCUAGAGUCCGGAAGAGGAGAGUGGAAUUCCUGGUGUAGCGGUGAAAUGCGCAGAUAUCAGGAAGAACACCCGUGGCUAAGGCGGCUCUCUAGUACGGUACUGACGCUGAGGAGCGAAAGCGUGGGGAGCGAACAGG